This 490-nucleotide ribosomal RNA is filed under the name uncultured bacterium. Its description in RNAcentral is "bacterial SSU rRNA". It matches the Rfam family "Bacterial small subunit ribosomal RNA", at positions 903 to 1397 of the family's 1533-position model. The record is from RNAcentral.
AAAUGAAUUGACGGGGACCCGCACAAGCAGCGGAGCAUGUGGUUUAAUUCGAAGCAACGCGAAGAACCUUACCAAGGCUUGACAUGUAUUUGAAUGUUAUAGAAAUAUAGCAGUCUUCGGACAGAUACACAGGUGGUGCAUGGUUGUCGUCAGCUCGUGUCGUGAGAUGUUCGGUUAAGUCCGGCAACGAGCGCAACCCUUAUAUUCAGUUGCCAAUAUUUAUUUAGGAACUCUGGAUAGACUGCCGUGGAUAACACGGAGGAAGGCGGGGAUGACGUCAAAUCAUCAUGCCCUUUAUGCCUUGGGCUACACACGUGCUACAAUGGGCGCUACAAAGGGCAGCAAGUAUGUAAAUAUGAGCGAAUCUCAAAAAAGCGUUCUCAGUUCAGAUUGAGGGCUGAAACCCGCCCUCAUGAAGUCGGAGUUGCUAGUAAUCGCAAAUCAGAAUGUUGCGGUGAAUGCGUUCCCGGGUCUUGUACACACCGCCCGU